This 484-nucleotide ribosomal RNA is filed under the name uncultured bacterium. RNAcentral's name for it is "partial 16S ribosomal RNA". It matches the Rfam family "Bacterial small subunit ribosomal RNA", at positions 30 to 507 of the family's 1533-position model. The record is from RNAcentral.
AUUGAACGCUGGCGGCAGGCCUAACACAUGCAAGUCGAGCGGAUGAAGGGAGCUUGCUCCUGGAUUCAGCGGCGGACGGGUGAGGAAUGCCUAGGAAUCUGCCUGGUAGGGGGGGAUAACGUCCGGAAACGGGCGCUAAUACCGCAUACGGCCUGAGGGAGAAAGUGGGGGGUCUUCGGACCUCACGCUAUCAGAUGAGCCUAGGUCGGAUUAGCUAGUUGGUGGGGUAAAGGCCUACCAAGGCGACGAUCCGUAACUGGUCUGAGAGGAUGAUCAGUCACACUGGAACUGAGACACGGUCCAGACUCCUACGGGAGGCAGCAGUGGGGAAUAUUGGACAAUGGGCGAAAGCCUGAUCCAGCCAUGCCGCGUGUGUGAAGAAGGUCUUCGGAUUGUAAAGCACUUUAAGUUGGGAGGAAGGGCAGUAAGUUAAUACCUUGCUGUUUUGACGUUACCAACAGAAUAAGCACCGGCUAACUUCGUG